GUAGGGUGCGAGCGUUAAUCGGAAUUACUGGGCGUAAAGCGUGCGCAGGCGGUUUUGUAAGACAGGCGUGAAAUCCCCGAGCUCAACUUGGGAAUGGCGCUUGUGACUGCAAGGCUAGAGUAUGUCAGAGGGGGGUAGAAUUCCACGUGUAGCAGUGAAAUGCGUAGAGAUGUGGAGGAAUACCGAUGGCGAAGGCAGCCCCCUGGGACGUCACUGACGCUCAUGCACGAAAGCGUGGGGAGCAAACAGGAUUAGAUACCCUGGUAGUCCACGCCCCUAAACGAUGUCAACUAGUUGUUGGGGAUUCAUUUCUUCAGUAACGUAGCUAACGCGUGAAGUUGACCGCCUGGGAGUACGGUCGCAAGAUUA
Molecule: ribosomal RNA, 369 nt
Filed under: uncultured organism
Description: partial 16S ribosomal RNA
Rfam family: Bacterial small subunit ribosomal RNA
Source: RNAcentral